RNAcentral lists this ribosomal RNA (199 nucleotides) under uncultured bacterium. RNAcentral's name for it is "partial 16S ribosomal RNA". It matches the Rfam family "Bacterial small subunit ribosomal RNA", at positions 328 to 539 of the family's 1533-position model. The record is from RNAcentral.
ACGCUCGACACCUACGGGAGGGCAGCAGUGGGGAAUAUUGCACAAUGGAGGAAACUCUGAUGCAGCGACGCCGCGUGAGGGAAGAAGGUCUUCGGAUUGUAAACCUCUGUUGUCAGGGACGAUGAUGACGGUACCUGACGAGGAAGCCACGGCUAACUACGUGCCAGCAGCCGCGGUAAUCUGAGCGGGCUGGCAAGGC